UACGGGGGGGGCAAGCGUUGUUCGGAAUUACUGGGCGUAAAGGGCUCGUAGGCGGCCAACUAAGUCGGAUGUGAAAUCCCCGGGCUUAACCUGGGAACUGCAUUGGUGACUGCAUCGCUCGAGUAUGGCAGAGGGGGGUAGAAUUCCACGUGUAGCAGUGAAAUGCGUAGAGAUGUGGAGGAAUACCGAUGGCGAAGGCAGCCCCCUGGGUCAAUACUGACGCUCAUGCACGAAAGCGUGGGGAGCAAACAGG
RNAcentral lists this ribosomal RNA (253 nucleotides) under uncultured bacterium. RNAcentral's name for it is "partial 16S ribosomal RNA". It matches the Rfam family "Bacterial small subunit ribosomal RNA", at positions 524 to 776 of the family's 1533-position model. The record is from RNAcentral.